Molecule: long non-coding RNA, 254 nt
Filed under: Elaeis guineensis (African oil palm)
Lineage: Eukaryota; Viridiplantae; Streptophyta; Magnoliopsida; Arecales; Arecaceae
Description: long non-coding RNA (EGUI_LNC036088)
Source: RNAcentral
UGGCUCCCUAAUUUCUACGGCCUCCGCCAAGGAUGCCCACUCUCCCCAUUUUUUUUGUUAUGUGUUUUAAGAUGUUAUCUCUUUCUUUGCAAGGAGCUACUCAUACUGGCUUCCUUAAAGCAUACAGGCCUAGAAUACAUGGGUUCAUUGCUUCCCAUGUCUUCUUUGCUGAAAACUAUAUUCUACUUACUGGAGCUACUGCAUUAUAUCUCAAGCUGGUCUUGGAAGCAUAUUACCAUUUUUUUGGACUUGGG